UACAGAGGUCUCGAGCGUUAGGCGGAAUCACUGGGCUUAAAGCGUGUGUAGGCGGAUUGCUAAGUACCUUGUGAAAUCCCACGGCUUAACCGUGGAACUGCUUGGUAUACUGGCUGUCUUGAGCCACUUAGGGGCAACCGGAACAAACGGUGGAGCGGUGAAAUGCGUAGAUAUCGUUUGGAACGCCAAUGGUGAAAACAGGUUGCUGGGAGUGUGCUGACGCUGAGACACGAAAGCCAGGGGAGCAAACGGG
This 253-nucleotide ribosomal RNA is filed under the name uncultured bacterium. RNAcentral's name for it is "partial 16S ribosomal RNA". It matches the Rfam family "Bacterial small subunit ribosomal RNA", at positions 524 to 776 of the family's 1533-position model. The record is from RNAcentral.